GUAGUUUUGGCAUCAUAUUGAGAACAGAACUUGCUAUGCAGAAUAAAACAGAAAGAAAACAUUGCAAAACUGAGUCAAUUUCAGAGUACAGAGACCUGCAGAUAAGUUUCAUCAGCCUUGGGAUAAAAUGUCGAGAAAGCAGAAAGUGGCUAAGCUGGGAGUAAGGCAAAUGGUGGUAACAGUGGACAAAGAUGGGAUAUUGUCUGAAGAUUAUGAGCUGCUAGACCAGACACUAUUUUAUUGAACUGAAGACAGGUGAUGUGUAAUUUUCAGGACACUGGAAAAUAAAAAACUGUAAUCAUGCAAAAUACCAAGAAUUUCAUUUAACCAAAGAAAACCACAAAUCAAGGACAAUAAUAACUAAUAACUUUUUGCUCCAUAAUUGUACAUAUAACCAAAAAAUAUAAUCAUACCUGAGCAAAUUUUAUGUCAGUAU
Molecule: unclassified non-coding RNA, 436 nt
Filed under: Hevea brasiliensis (rubber tree)
Lineage: Eukaryota; Viridiplantae; Streptophyta; Magnoliopsida; Malpighiales; Euphorbiaceae
Source: RNAcentral